RNAcentral lists this long non-coding RNA (302 nucleotides) under Equus asinus (donkey). Its description in RNAcentral is "lncRNA (ENSEASG00005036858.1)". The record is from RNAcentral. Lineage: Eukaryota; Metazoa; Chordata; Mammalia; Perissodactyla; Equidae.
GGCGACCGUCUCCUGGAAUGCCGAAGUCGUGACUAGACUCAGUUGCCCGGUGCGCAGAGCCAGAAGUAGGCAUGUGACACAGUUCUUGCCAAGGAGACACCAGCUGGAAUCCCCGAAUGUGAGUGUGAUGUCUGGAGCUUCAGCAGCCAUAUUUUGACCACGAGCCAAAUUUGAGGAUGACAGCCAUGCACUCAGAAUGAUGGACUAGAAAAAUAAAAAGAGCCUGGACCUCUUCUCCAAGACAAUGCUGUGGAGCUGCCAUACCAGCUCUGGAGUGCCUGCUUUUGGACUUCUUGUUAUCA